GCGACAACAACAACAAAAAAGAAAUUAAAUUUAUAUGAUUUUAACUAUUCUUUAAUCUGCUUCUGGGCAACAAAAGUGAUUUUUGUCAGCUGCUAUGGCAUUAAACUUUAAUUUUCUUCCACCGGCACAGGAUUAUAUAAAGGAGUAUUGGAUUGCACUCAGCAUGGAUUAGCGGAGCACUGUCUCUGCUGCCAAGGAGAAAUGGAUUUCCUUCUUUCUUUGAUUUAUAUUUUUAUUGCUGUUUUUCCCCUCCUUCUAAUUCCCAUUACCCUUCUGUUUGCCAGCUCUGAGAUACCCUGUAGGAGCAGCAGCAAGGCAGGCAGAAUUAUUGGUUUAUUGCAUAUAGUUAUGUUCCAAGGCUUUUCAGUCAUCUAUGUCAGAGUCUCCAGCCAUGGAGACUGCAUGCCAAUUUUAAACUAUAAAAUUAAAAAAAUUAAGGUUAAAAAGUCACCUUUUGCUUGCUGAAAAUCAGUAAAACCAGCUGGAUUUGACCUCACAUCUAAUGUCCCAGCUGUAUCUCACAACAGGUAGAAAAAACCUCAAUGGGGUAGAUACAAAAUAAAAAUCCCAGAACUACCUUUUGCACACAAGAAGGUAUGUAUAGCAGGGUCCCUGAGAUUCAGAAUGGAGAAGAAGCCCUCUGGCUUUACCUUUUGGGUCUUUGGGAUACCAGUUAUCUCUGGAAACAAGAGCAAAUAAACUCCCUCCAGUCAAGGCACACAGGGCCAAUAGUUGGCCCUGUGUGUAAAGCCUAGAGGGGAUGCUAAGGGCAGGGCUCCAAGACUGUGAUGGAGAGACUGAUUGAAUGAAGCAGAGGACAGCUCACUAACAGUGGCAAGUAAACAAGAACAAUGGUGUGCUCUGUUGGUCUGCAAAGAACUCUGGAUUUCUGAAGAAGAAAAUAAGCCUGCCAGACUUCAGUUUGAAUUUUGGUUCUCACAGACUUCUUGAAAACAGUGUCAUGAAUUCCUGAGUUUCAGAAAAGUGGCUAUUAGGGAGCCACUCCACAGCAGAUGUUACUUAGCAAUACUUGCAAGGAAUCCAAGUGGCCAAAUGAGGGUCUGACUCUACUUACAGUGAGUAGCUCCUGUCCUGGGGGACUGGAAUUGAUUCCCAAAGGAAGUACAGUGAGCUUGCCCAUGCUAAAGAAACUUGUCUGUGAUUAAGAGAACCAUUGUAAAGAUCGGAAUAAAGAUUAAGAAAGUCAUUGGUAGGCCAUUCAAACUGAAGAUCACGACCUCAUUAAUGGAGUAGAGGUUUCCAGAGAAUUGAAAGAGCAGGAAACAUUGCUCAUGAAUUCAUCCUCUUGUGUCUUUUCAUAUAUUCAAAAGUUGGAACUAUACAAGUGCAGUUAAGUGUGAACCAUAUCCAUUCACCUUUCAGUACAUCUAUUUAUGGAGUAAAUAAUGUACAAUGUGUUUCUAGAAUGGAGAGACACUUUUUACUGUCACUCAUCCAAUAUUUCAGUGUAUUUUCAAACCAUAUACAAUAUUAUGCAAUAAAAAGGGAAAUAUUAAGAAGCCUCAUUCCAAAGUCAUACAAUAUUUGGGUCAGAUGUUCAGUUCAUGUUUGUUCCAUUCUCCUUCAGCAUGACAAUACUAUAUGACAUGCCACAAACAUGCAGUUAAAGACUCUUUUUAAAUAGGCUAUUUUGAUUUUUUAUUAUAACAGCUUAAAGCAAUUCUAUGCCACCCCAAAUCUCUAGCAAAUUCCAAGCUAUAUUGAACAAACUUUUAUUUUGAGAUACUACUUGGAAAGACUAAAUUUGGUUCCAUUGUUCCUGUCUCUUCUAAUGGAAUUCUGGACAGUAAACUUUUUUUUUUUUUUUUAAUGCAAGUUCUCCUGUAUGCAGUCUGCUUUGGAGACUAGGAAUUACCCUGAAAACAACUCUAAGGUUUAACAAAAACCUACAAUAUCUCAGGGAAAAAAAUAGAUCACAUGGGGGAAACAACUUUUGAAAAAUAUAAAAGUUAAAGAAAAAUUUUCUCCACUAAAUGUAUUCCAGUGGAGUAGGUUCAUCAUGGCAUUUAUGUCUUAUGCCUUAAGCAGAAAUUAAAAAUAAAAUUUGUCUUCUCUCUUCUAAGUUCGUUUGAUAUAUAGUGCUGUCAUGUUCCAUUUGUUUUCUUUAAAAAAACAAAAUCAUUCAACAAGACUUUCAUAAGUUUAAUUACUCUAAGAUAUAAAUGACAAAAAAAUUUUAAGUAUUACUUCAGUACCUCACAAUUUUUGUUGUAUUAAUGAGUUAAAACUUCUUAGGACCUCCUAUAGUUUGCCUCUUUUGACUAAGCAUCCAGCUACACUUGAAUAAAUUUAUGUACAUGAAGAUCACAUUAAAAGCACUGGGAACUUUAUUCCUAAGUUUAUAGUAAAUUAAUCAAAUUCAUUUCAAUAUGUAGCUUUUAUCUAAAAUGUAUCCCCCCAAAUGUAGUAUGUGUGUUUUUUUUCCUUCUAACAUCAAAUAUGUGCCUUUUUGUCAUACCAAUUCUAUUUACCAAGUAUCCAACAAUUCAAUUUUGACCUAACUUUCAGAGUUAACACAGACUCUACAGACUGUCUCUAGUUCAAACACCAUUUGCAAAUGGAGUAGUUAGUUAUUCCCAUUUCUUCCCAGCACAUUAAAAAUUCAGGAAUUUCCAUGACCUCCUCCUCACGUUUGAUAAUUUACUAUAACCACUUACAGAAAUCAGGAAAGUGUUUUACUUACAAUUACCAGUUUAUCAUAAAGGAGUCUAGAGAAGAAUAAUCAAUGGUGAGAUAUAUAUGGUAAAGGAUUAGGAGAGGGACAAUCUCAGAACAGUGAAUUUGUAAUUAAUGUAAAUAUGUCCUAAUACCUCUGUCUACACCAUCAAUCUAGGAUACUCUUGCUUUGGAACUGGAUUUUGUAAUUUUCCUUUUAAUUUCUGAGUGUAUAUUCUAUUCCAAUUUAUGAAAUCUGGACAAUUUAGAUGGCACGGUUAGACCAUUGAUUGGAUAUUAAACCCAGGGUAUAUUAAAGGAUUUUCUUACUAAAUAGCUCUGAUGGAUUAAAAA
This 3030-nucleotide long non-coding RNA is filed under the name Marmota monax (woodchuck). The record is from RNAcentral. Lineage: Eukaryota; Metazoa; Chordata; Mammalia; Rodentia; Sciuridae.